UUAAGUUAUGAAGGGCGCAUGGUGAAUGCCUUGGUACUAGGAGCCGAUGAAGGACGGGACUAACACCGAUAUGCUUCGGGGAGCGGUAAGUACGCUUUGAUCCGGAGAUUUCCGAAUGGGGAAACCCAAUCAUCUUAGUCGAUGAUUGCCUGAGCAGUGAAUACAUAGCUGUCAGGCGGUAGACGCAGUGAACUGAAACAUCUAAGUAGCUGCAGGAAGAGAAAGAAAAUUCGAUUCCCUGAGUAGCGGCGAGCGAAACGGGAAGAGCCCAAACCAACGAGCUUGCUUGUUGGGGUUGUAGGACUGAACAUUUGAGUUACCAAAGUGCGACGUAGUUGAAGUCGUUGGGAAGCGACGCCAAAGAUGGUGAUAGCCCAGUAAACGAAACGUCACACUCUCAGUUCAGGAUCCUGAGUACGGCGGGACACGUGAAACCCCGUCGGAAUCCGCGAGGACCAUCUCGCAAGGCUAAAUACUCCCUAGUGACCGAUAGUGAACCAGUACCGUGAGGGAAAGGUGAAAAGCACCCCGGGAGGGGAGUGAAACAGUUCCUGAAACCAUGUGCCUACAAGCUGUCGGAGCACAUUUACGUGUGACGGCGUGCCUCUUGCAGAAUGAACCGGCGAGUCAUGAUUGCGUGCAAGGUUAAGGUGGAAAAACCGGAGCCGCAGCGAAAGCGAGUCUGAAAUGGGCGUACGAAGUACGCAGUUAUGUACCCGAAACCAGGUGACCUACCCAUGUCCAGGUUGAAGGUGCGGUAAAACGCACUGGAGGACCGAACCCGUAUCAGUUGAAAAUGGUUGGGAUGAGGUGUGGGUAGCGGUGAAAUUCCAAACGAACUUGGAGAUAGCUGGUUCUCUCCGAAAUCUCUUUAGGGGGAGCCUCGAGGUUUAGAAUCAUGGAGGUAGAGCACUGUUUGGACUAGGGGCCCGUCAUGGGUUACUGACUUCAGAUAAACUCCGAAUGCCAUUGAUUUUUACUCGGGAGUCACACGGUGAGUGAUAAGAUCCAUCGUGGAAAGGGGAACAGCCCAGAUCAUCAGCUAAGGUCCCUAAAUAUAUGCUAAGUGGAAAAGGAUGUGGAAUUGCACAGACAACUAGGAUGUUGGCUCAGAAGCAGCCAUCAUUUAAAGAGUGCGUAAUAGCUCACUAGUCGAGUGACUCUGCGCCGAAAAUGUACCGGGGCUAAGCAUAUUACCGAAGCUAUGGAUGCAUCCAUCAGGAUGCGUGGUAGGAGAGCGUUCCAAGGGCGAUGAAGUCAGACCGUAAGGACUGGUGGAGCGCUUGGAAGUGAGAAUGCCGGUAUGAGUAGCGAAAGACAGGUGAGAAUCCUGUCCACCGAAUGACUAAGGUUUCCUGGGGAAGGCUCGUCCUCCCAGGGUUAGUCGGGACCUAAGUCGAGGCCGAGAGGCGUAGACGAUGGACAACAGGUUGAUAUUCCUGUACCAGUUGAUUGUGCUUGAGUGAUGGAGUGACGCAGAAGGCUAAGCGAUCCGGACGAUUGGAAGUGUCCGGCCAAGCAGCAAGUCAGUUGAUGAGUCAAAUGCUUAUCAGCGGGUUGACAAGCUGUGACGGGGAGCGAAAUUAUAGUAGCGAAGUCGUUGAUGUCACGCUGCCGAGAAAAGCUUCUAGCGAAUAAUCAACUGCCCGUACCGCAAACCGACACAGGUAGUCGAGGAGAGUAUCCUAAGGUGAGCGAGCGAACUCUCGUUAAGGAACUCGGCAAAAUGACCCCGUAACUUCGGGAGAAGGGGUGCUGAUCGCAAGAUCAGCCGCAGUGAAAAGGCCCAGGCGACUGUUUAUCAAAAACACAGGUUUCUGCAAAAUCGUAAGAUGAAGUAUAGGGGCUGACGCCUGCCCGGUGCUGGAAGGUUAAAAGGAAGAGUUAGCUUCGGCGAAGCCCUGAAUUGAAGCCCCAGUAAACGGCGGCCGUAACUAUAACGGUCCUAAGGUAGCGAAAUUCCUUGUCGGGUAAGUUC
Molecule: ribosomal RNA, 1978 nt
Filed under: human gut metagenome
Description: bacterial LSU rRNA
Rfam family: Bacterial large subunit ribosomal RNA
Source: RNAcentral